Non-coding RNA from Peromyscus maniculatus bairdii (prairie deer mouse), 2251 nucleotides. NCBI's taxonomy places the organism in Eukaryota, Metazoa, Chordata, Mammalia, Rodentia, Cricetidae. The record is from RefSeq and is a predicted model, not a curated record.
GACGCCAGGACGCCGGUUGGCUAGGGAGGCGCCUUGGCGUCGGCGGUUGAGACGCGUAGCCCGGGCGGAACGCCGGGCCGUUGGGGCGCAGAAUUUACACGACGGAGGGUGGGAGAGAGGGGCGGCGCAUGCGUGGUGCGCCCGCGGAAGGAUGAGCGGCAGACAGACGCGGGGAAACGGCGCUAGGCUCUCGACGCUUUCUGCCGAGCGGACGGGAAGAACUGCGACGAGCGGAAGGGAUGACGUAGUCGAGGGCGGAGUUUACAUGGACCCUGGAAGAGCCCCGGGUCGGGCGUCCAUUCGGGAGAGGCAUGCAUGCCACAGCAUGUGUAUGGAGGUCAAAGGACAACUUGCAGGAGUUGGAUCCAACCAGUUCCCCAGUUACAGCACUUCAUGGGAAGGUUCUUCCCACGCCAACCAGUUCCCCAGUUCCUGGUGAAGACUGAUCAAGCGUCCUACAGUGUAAUUCAUGGCUGACAUUGCCUGCCAGGCCUCCAUGUGGAGGGGCUCUAUCCAACAAGACUGCUCCAGGUUAAGAUGCCGGCCUUGAGUCCGGGCCUCACGACUUAUGCACCACCAGCUAUAAAGCAAGGACACCACAAGCCCUCUUCAACUCUGGUGAUUUGCCGGGCUGGCUCACAGGGCUAAGGUCAAGCACCUUGCCCACAUUUGCUGGUAUCAAACAGUGAUAGCCAGAUGGAACAGACGAGCGAGACAAGGUACUGGGGAGAUGGGUCUGGAGCUUCCAUGUCCUUGGGCACCACCUUCUCUGACAGCUCUCUGACUCCAUCUUUUGGGGUGUUAAGGACUGUCAUCAUUAGCUAUUGGCUAAGAGCCAGUUGAGUUAAAAGUUCCAGCCCCUUCCCCAUCCCUGCCCUUGGGACUUUCCAAAAGUUAGCCCUGUUGGCUUAAGCCAGUUGAAAGAGUCUUACUAUAAUACACAGAAGAUGCCCUUUUAAACCUUUAUCACGCAGGAAAUUGCAGGGCUUUUAGGAGCUUUGUCCAAGAAGUGAAGGGAGGUUCUUAUCUAAGUGUAAUCUGGGGAAGAGCAUGAGGAGCAGCAAACUCAGAGGCCUUGAGGAAAAGCAGUCUGCGUGGCUGGAGUCCGUGUAGAGCAGCUUUGAGGUCAGGUGCAGAUGAAGUUGGACUAAAGCUUUGGAGGAGGUCAUGAAAGACUAAAGGGAUUUUUUUAAAAGUCAGCUGGAGGUGCAGGACUAUUUCCCCAGCACUGGGGAGGCUGAGUCAGGGUGCAGAAGGUUGAGGCAAGCAGCCUUAAUGGAGUUCUAGGCCAGCCUGAGACUUGGUCUGCAAGCAUGGCUAGCUGAGUUAGCAUGCUUGCCACCAGGCACGAAGGCGUGAGUGGGGAAGCCUAGAGUCCACAUGGUAGAAAGAAGGAAGAACAGAAAGUUGACCUCUGACCCCUGCAGGCAUGCACUCACUCACAGACAGACACAGAAUAAAUAAAUUUAAGAAAAAACCAAAACCCCACAACAGAAUGUACCAGAAGAGACUUGUGAUGGGGAUGGAGGAGGAUCUGUUAGACCCUGUGAGAUUAGAGACCUCUGUUGCUAAGGGCCCUCUGUUGCUAAGGGCCUUUGUUAUGGUUCUGUGCUCUCCAGGGGGAAUGACUAGAGUUAGGCCCAUAACCAUGCUGCCUGGAAAAGAAUGCACUGGCCAGGGUGUGUGCGUGUGCGUGUGCGUGCGUGUGCGUGUGUGUGUGUGUGUGUGUAGGGACCCUGAGAAUCUUCCAUUUACCCUUCAUUCUCCCUCUCCAGCUCUGUUCUUUGCCCAGGAGACUAACCUGUGCAGACCACAUCAGAGGGUUGUCUGGCUUCCAGUUGGUUGGGGGCUAUGGAGCAGCCUCUGACAGGGAGAGAGUAGGAUGGAGGACACUGAUGAGCCUGUCACCAUGGCUGCAUUUCCAUGAGGUCACAGUGGCCCAAUCCUCCCCUAAGGCCAGCACUCCUCUUUAGGCACCCGCUCUGCCAAGAUAUCUUUCAGGUUUCUGUAGCCCAUAGGAUGAAUCUCAAAUGAUCUGUGAUGAAAAAGUUGUACAACCUUUUCUUUUCAUUCUCUUGAGAAAGGACUCAUGUAGCCCAGGCUGGCCUGAAAGCUGACCUUGAGUAACUGAUCUUCCUGCCUCAGCCCCCCAAGAGCUGUGAUUUGAAUCUGACUCUGAAGAUCAAUUUUAAUAAUGACAUACAGGACAGAGCACCAGUGCUCAGUGUGAAUAAUAAAUUUCUUAAAUGUG